RNAcentral lists this ribosomal RNA (253 nucleotides) under uncultured bacterium. RNAcentral's name for it is "partial 16S ribosomal RNA". It matches the Rfam family "Bacterial small subunit ribosomal RNA", at positions 524 to 776 of the family's 1533-position model. The record is from RNAcentral.
UACGAAGGGGGCUAGCGUUGUUCGGAAUUACUGGGCGUAAAGCGCGCGCAGGCGGCUAUCCAAGUCAGUGGUGAAAGCCCGGAGCUCAACUCCGGAACUGCCAUUGAAACUGUUUAGCUUGAGGAUGAGAGAGGUGAGUGGAAUUCCCAGUGUAGAGGUGAAGUUCGUAGAUAUUGGGAAGAACACCGGUGGCGAAGGCGGCUCACUGGCUCAUUACUGACGCUCAGGCGCGAUAGCGUGGGGAUCAAACAGG